Dermacentor albipictus is the source of this 562-nucleotide non-coding RNA. The record is from RefSeq and is a predicted model, not a curated record. Lineage: Eukaryota; Metazoa; Arthropoda; Arachnida; Ixodida; Ixodidae.
GGAUGGUAUACCUCUCUCAAGUGUUCACGGGGGCAGGCAUGGCCGCUCAAUUUGUUUGCGGUUAUUGUCACGCACUACAACACGCUGUGGUACGAGGAUAUCCAAACGAUAUAGAAACAACAUCUUUCGUCUCCACCGUCGUAAUUACAAGUCUUGUGCUUGGAGCUACAAUAACUCCUCCAAUUGCUGGAUACCUUGUGGAAAGGUUUGGAUAUAGGAAUGGGUCGAUGUUCCUUUUCGCAAUUCUUGUACUUUGGACCCCAGUUACAUUCAUUCAGUGGAUGGCAUCGUCCUGCAGCAGGCAACGCAAGCAGCAGUGGGACGUUACGACUGAUUCGCGUACAUGCUGACCACCCACCUCUAUUCUAUAUUGCCUCCAAAGCGGGAGACGGACCUCGCCUCCCCCCACCCCAAACACAAAACAUCUUCUAACCAUUAUGCCACAAUCGCAAGUGCACACUGCUCUCGUGCCAACACUAAUUAGCACUUUAGGUGGCCACUAAGUGUUGAUUAUUAUGAUGGUUAUGAUAAUGAUGAAGUAUGACGAUGGUGAUAAUGAUGA